AUUGAACGCUGGCGGCAUGCCUUACACAUGCAAGUCGAACGGGGGUUGCAAUACCCUAGUGGCGAACGGGUGAGUAAUGCAUCGGAACGUACCCAGUUGUGGGGGAUAACGUAGCGAAAGUUACGCUAAUACCGCAUACGCACUGAGGUGGAAAGCGGGGGACCUUCGGGCCUCGCGCAAUUGGAGCGGCCGAUGUCGGAUUAGCUAGUUGGUGAGGUAAAAGCUCACCAAGGCGACGAUCCGUAGCUGGUCUGAGAGGACGACCGGCCACACUGGGACUGAGACACGGCCCAGACUCCUACGGGAGGCAGCAGUGGGGAAUUUUGGACGAUGGGCGAAAGCCUGAUCCAGCCAUGCCGCGUGAGUGAAGAAGGCCUUCGGGUUGUAAAGCUCUUUCGGACGGAAAGAAAUGGCUUCGGUGAAUAAUCGGAGUCGAUGACGGUACCGUAAGAAGAAGCACCGGCUAACUACGUGCCAGCAGCCGCCGUAA
Molecule: ribosomal RNA, 490 nt
Filed under: uncultured bacterium
Lineage: Bacteria
Description: partial 16S ribosomal RNA
Rfam family: Bacterial small subunit ribosomal RNA
Source: RNAcentral